Molecule: long non-coding RNA, 2445 nt
Filed under: Capsicum annuum
Lineage: Eukaryota; Viridiplantae; Streptophyta; Magnoliopsida; Solanales; Solanaceae
Description: long non-coding RNA (CANN_LNC020336)
Source: RNAcentral
UAAGUUAUAAUAGCCCCGAGAUAAAUUAUGGGGUUAUUUUUUCUCAUAUUUAGUUGAUGGAAUUGUCAUACCCUAUUUUACCUAAAGUCAAAACGAGUACGACGUUAUGGACUCUAAAAGAAUGAAAAUUUGUAAAGAGUCACCACCUAAUUUUUAAGAAAAAUAAGGAAAACUUUUUUAUUUAUUAGCAUUGUGAUUAGUGUUUUUAGUCUGCGAAAAAACAAUUGAGAUUCUAAGUAAGGGUUCCAAUUAUUUCAAAGGGAAGGGGUUAGGUAUCCUUCAGAAUCCACAAGUGUGGUACCCGGCUAGACUAAAUUUAUCAAAGAGGGAUGAGGUAUAAAUAAUGUAAAGUUGUAUAAGUAUAAAAUAAUUCUUCUAAAUAUUUAAAACUAUGUAAAUGUAUAUGUAUGUUAAAUAUAUAAAGAAAACAUAUUGUUAUGAAACACAGGUGAAAGAUAUGUAUAAAAAUGUAUAAAUUAUAUGUGAAAAGAAAAAAUAUUUUGUGACAUGUAUUGAAAAGAAGUGUAUCUUGAUAUGCCCAUGAGGAGAAAAAUAUUUAAAAAUAAUAUUUUUUACUUGAUUUAAAAUUUAUAAAAAAAAGUAAAGAUUUAGUUAAACGCGAGGUGAAGUUGUAUAAAUAAAAUCUCGCCCAACACCACAAAAAUAAAGUUUUUAUUAUAAUAACAUUUGUACAAAUAUAAAAAUAUAAAAUACAAUACAAAAUUAAAAAGGCCUCUUUAAAUGCAGCUCCCGACGAGUAUUGCAAAUAACCUGUAUAAAUAGGUGUAAAAAAUGUUAGUAACGAAUAAAUAAUAAUCAAAAUAAAUCAAACAAGUAUGUGUGUAUAUAAAUAUUUAAAAAUAUAUUUUUUAUUAAAAAGUGGGUUUAGAUGAAGUCAUAGUUGCAAAAUGGUUGUUCAAUUAAUUGACAGUCUUAAAUCAUUUUACUACGAAGUGAUUGCUCAAUUAAUUUAGUCAAAAUAUGAAUUAUAAAAUUUUGUGUUGUUAUAAAAUUUUGUAUCACCCAAAAAAUAUUUAUUUAUUACAUAUUUGCAUACGUAAAGUCUGUCUUUUAUCUAUGGAGGCCUUAAAAUUAAUAGUAAUUUUUUAUUGGCCAAAAUGUGUAGUAUCUGUUCAUUGUAUCAGUCAAAUAUAUUCAGAUAAUCAAUAAAAGGGUAAAAUGCAAAAAUAUGUAAAUAUAGUAAUAGAGUAAUGUAGGACCAUGUAAAAAUGCCAAAAAGUCUAUCAAUUUUUGAACAAAACAAGGGGUCACCCCAAUAUCCAAAUCAGUAGUAUUAAAUAGAGCAAACAGAAUGAGUCGAAAGAAAAACAUAGCUGGCAAUCAUAAAUCAUCCCCAAUCAAGCAUGUUCAUUCAAGAAUCAACACCUCCACAGAUAAUUCAAAAUCAACAAAUAAAAUCAAGGAUCCAAAAGUAGAGGAAAAAAAUGUUAGAGCACCAUAAACGACCCAAAUCCACAAAAUAAGCAAGUUAUUAAGCGGAUAGAAGACUGAAAAAUGAAGGUUGGCGUUACUUCAACGGCUUAUGCCGGAGUAACGCCGAAACCCAGAUUCCGACCAGAUCUAGCCAUUUUUUGAUGUGGCAGUGGUGGUGUCGCCGGCCAUGGCUGUUGAUCCAGCUGUUUUACCGGCAGAGAUGUAUGAAGAGGAGAUCCGAGAAGCGGCUGUUUUAUCGACGAGAGGUAUUAUGCGACAGUGAUGUUUAUAGCGUGUAAGGGAGAGAAGAAAGCAUGAGAUGAGAUCUGUUUUUUUUUUGUUCUACUCCCUGAGUAUGUGAUGUGCAAAUUGUAUUAAAGUAUGUGAUUAUUUUUAGAGAAAAGAAAGAGUAAUGUGUGUGUCUUGAGAGUGCAUAAAAAUCUGUGUAUAUGUUUUUUGAAUGAAGAAGAAAAAAAAUAGAUUCUGUGUAUUCUGUAAUAUGUGAGGGUGAUUGUAUAUUGUUGUUCUGUCUUAAAAAUGGUUCCCCCGGUGAAUAGAUGAUAGCAUGACUAUUUAUUUUGUGAAGAAUAAUAAUGUCAAAUAUGGAGGGUGUAUUGUGAAGAAAAAUGUCAAAUGUAACCGUUUGAAAUUGACAGUGAACGUUGCAAAAGCUGAUUAAUAGUAAAUUAGCAGAUUUUCUUUGAUUUCAUUUGACAUGUGCACUAUUUAACAAAUAAAUUAAAAGACAUCUUUUUUCUUGAAAUGAUAUAAAGAAAAAAAGUAAAAAACUCUACUUUUGCAUUAAAAAUCUUUGAAAGAGAAGAUAUGCAACAACGGAUCUUUUGCUUAAAAGUUUAAAACUUUUUGCUUAAAGUCUUAACACAUUAUUGCAAGUAGUAUUCAUAUUCUUACCAAUUUAUUAUUUGAAUCCUUUCUGAUCUUAAAUUGAUUCUUUUGAGCUUCUAAUUUAAUAGCUAGCUUAAUACAUAUUAAAUAAUAAUAGGAAAAAAU